Molecule: ribosomal RNA, 456 nt
Filed under: uncultured bacterium
Lineage: Bacteria
Description: bacterial SSU rRNA
Rfam family: Bacterial small subunit ribosomal RNA
Source: RNAcentral
UACGGAAGGCAGCAGUGGGGAAUAUUGCACAAUGGGCGAAAGCCUGAUGCAGCUAUGCCGCGUGUAUGAAGAAGGCCUUAGGGUUGUAAAGUACUUUCAUCGGGGAGGAAAAAACAAAACUAAUAAUUUUAUUUCUUGACGUUACCCGAAAAAGAAGCACCGGCUAACUCCGUGCCAGCAGCCGCGGUAAUACGGAGGGUGCUAGCGUUAAUCAGAAUUACUGGGCGUAAAGAGCACGUAGGUGGUUUUUUUAAGUCAGAUGUGAAAUCCCUGGGCUUAACCUGGAACUGCAUUUUGAAACUGAAAUACUAGAGUAUCGUAGAGGGAGGUAGAAUUCUAGGUGUAGCGGUGAAAUGCGUAGAUAUCUGGAGGAAUACCUGUGGCGAAAGCGGCCUCCUAAACGAAUACUGACACUGAGGUGCGAAAGCGUUGGGGAGCAAACAGGGAUUAGAUACC